This 680-nucleotide ribosomal RNA is filed under the name uncultured archaeon. RNAcentral's name for it is "bacterial SSU rRNA". It matches the Rfam family "Archaeal small subunit ribosomal RNA", at positions 55 to 718 of the family's 1478-position model. The record is from RNAcentral.
GAGUCGUACGCUCUCGGUAAGAGAGCGUGGCGGACGGCUGAGUAACACGUGGUCAACCUAACCUCGGGACUUGGAUACCUCCGGGAAACUGGAGCUAAUCCAAGAUAGGCAAAGGAAUCUGGAACGAUCCUUUGCUUAAAAGCCUCUAGGCUAAUACUGUCUAGAGGUGCCCGAGGAUGGGACUGCGGCCCAUCAGGCUGUUGGUGGGGUAAUGGCCCACCAAACCGAUAACGGGUAGGGGCCGUGGGAGCGGGAGCCCCCAGUUGGGCACUGAGACAAUGGCCCAGGCCCUACGGGGCGCACCAGGCGCGAAACGUCCCCAAUGCGGGAAACCGUGAGGGCGCUAUCCCCAGUGCCUCCGAUAGGAGGCUUUUCCCCACUUUAGAACGGUGGGGGAAUAAGCGGGGGGCAUGGCUGGUGUCAGCCGCCGCGGUAAUACCAGCCCCGCGAGUGAUCUGGACGUUUAUUGGGCUUGAAGCGCCCGUAGCCGGCCCAUAAAGUCACUGUUUAAAGACUCGGGCUCAACCCGGGAAAGGGCAGUGAUACUUAUGGGCUAGGGGGCGGGAAAGGUCGGAGGUACUCCCGGAGCAGGGGCGAAAUCCGUAGAUCCCGGGAGGACCACCAGUGGCGAAAGCGUCCGGCUAGAACGCGCCCGACGGUGAGGGGCGAAAGCCGGGGCA